Molecule: non-coding RNA, 133 nt
Filed under: Microlunatus phosphovorus
Lineage: Bacteria; Bacillati; Actinomycetota; Actinomycetes; Propionibacteriales; Propionibacteriaceae
Also listed under: 1 other name
Description: TPP sequence
Rfam family: TPP riboswitch aptamer (THI element)
About the family: Vitamin B(1) in its active form thiamin pyrophosphate (TPP) is an essential coenzyme that is synthesised by coupling of pyrimidine and thiazole moieties in bacteria. The previously detected thiamin-regulatory element, thi box was extended, resulting in a new, highly conserved RNA secondary structure, the THI element, which is widely distributed in eubacteria and also occurs in some archaea. Analysis of operon structures identified a large number of new candidate thiamin-regulated genes, mostly transporters, in various prokaryotic organisms.
Source: RNAcentral
AGCGACAACUUCGGGAGCUCACACCAGAUGGUGGGCUGAGAGGGCGGAGUGCCGGUCCGACGGGGCCGCGGGUCCGCCGACCGACCGAACCUGACCGGGUAAUGCCGGCGUAGGGAGGUUUAUCGCCCAUGAC